AAGCAAAGCCCAAAGCUCAUGAAGAUGUUUUUGACGACAACGUUUUGGAAAAAAAGUGUUGGUUGGCACAUAACUGCACACCUUGGGAAAAAGUUAAAAAGUUUUGGGUAGAUACAUGCACGCUUAGAAAUAAAUGUAAGGGAUCUCUGUCGGAUUUGCUAGCAGAAUGGCCGCGCUACAAUGAUUUUAACGGUUACGAAUUGGUUGAUAUUGAUUUUAAUGCCAUGCAUCCAGAUAUUGGAAACGAGCUGUUCUUAAAACUUGACAAGUUUUAUAAAGUAAUCCUUCCUAUCUUAAAUGCGGAAGUAAAAGACCAAGCCAGCCGAGAGUUAUUACUUUCGAAACUCCUUUACAAAAA
Molecule: long non-coding RNA, 358 nt
Organism: Bactrocera neohumeralis
Lineage: Eukaryota; Metazoa; Arthropoda; Insecta; Diptera; Tephritidae
Exons: 3
Source: RefSeq, a predicted model, not a curated record